CCCUACGGGGUGCAGCAGGCGCGAAACCUUUACAAUGUGCGAAAGCAUGAUAAGGGAACUCCGAGUGCCAGUAUCUAAUACUGGCUGUCCUUGUGCCUAAAACGCACAAGAUAGCAAGGGCCGGGUAAGACCGGUGCCAGCCGCCGCGGUAACACCGGCGGCCCGAGUGGUAGCCGCUAUUAUUGGGUCUAAAGGGUCCGUAGCCGGUUCGAUAAGUCCUCUGGGAAAUCUGGUUGCUUAACAAUCAGACUGCCAAGGGAUACUGUCAAACUUGAGACCGGGAGAGGUAAGAGGUACUUCAGGGGUAGGAGUGAAAUCUUGUAAUCCCUGGGGGACCAUCUGUGGCGAAGGCGUCUUACCAGAACGGGUCUGACGGUGAGGGACGAAAGCUGGGGGCGCAAACCGGAUUAGAUACCCGGGUAGUCCCAGCCGUAAGCGAUGCUCGCUAUGUGUCAGGUACGGUGUGACCGUAUCUGGUGCCGUAGGGAAGCCGUGAAGCGAGCCACCUGGGAAGUACGGCCGCAAGGCUGAAACUUAAAGGAAUUGGCGGGGGAGCAC
Molecule: ribosomal RNA, 558 nt
Filed under: uncultured archaeon
Lineage: Archaea
Description: bacterial SSU rRNA
Rfam family: Archaeal small subunit ribosomal RNA
Source: RNAcentral